RNAcentral lists this long non-coding RNA (1095 nucleotides) under Gadus morhua (Atlantic cod). RNAcentral describes it as "lncRNA (ENSGMOG00000032197.1)". The record is from RNAcentral. Lineage: Eukaryota; Metazoa; Chordata; Actinopteri; Gadiformes; Gadidae.
AUGCAAGCUGUUCAGGUAAGUAUUCACAGUAUUCUGAUUUCUAAAUUAAAUAGAUAUGGAUUGGACAAUAUUGCCCUGAACUGGUUUAAAAAUUAUCUAUCUAACAGACAACAAUAUGUGUCGCUUAAUGGCUAUUCUUCUACCAAGUCAAGAAUCAUACAUGGGGUGCCACAGGGUUCAAUACUGGGCCCUUUAUUAUUUUUGAUUUAUAUAAACGAUUUAGCCAUGUCUUGUAAACAUCUUUUUCCUGUAUUAUUUGCUGAUGACACUAAUCUCAUAGCAACUCAUAAUGACUUUAAUCAUUUGAUUAACUGUGUAAAUGAUGAAUUAUUAUCAAUUGCCAAAUGGUUUCAAAUGAAUAAAUUAACACUUAACGUGAAGAAAUGUAACUUUGUGAUCUUUUGCAACAUAAACAAGUCUUACCCUAAAGAACAAGCUAAAGUUUUCAUUAAUGGAUCAGAAAUUAUGCAAGUAAAAGCUUCCAAAUUUUUGGGAAUCUUAGUUGAUGAAAGACUUAACUGGUCAAAUCAUAUAGACUUGGUUUGCAAAAGAUCCACGAAGAUGAUGGGCAUAUUAAGAAAAGUGUGUCCUCUAAUUCAUCCUUCUGCUCAUUUAACGUUAUAUUAUAGCUUUUUGUUUCCUUAUUUGAACUACUGUAAUCUGGUCUGGGCGGCUUCAUAUCCCAACCAUCUCAAAAAAUUAUGUAUCAUUCAGAAGCGAUUCUUAAGAUUCAUCUCACAUUCAAACAGAUAUGCUCCAUCAGCACCACUUUUCAUAAAUUAUUCUAUUUUGCCAAUUCACAAAUUAAAUAUCUAUCAGAUAUGUUUAUUCAUUCACAAGUUUAUUUACAGAAACCAAGAUCUCCCUGAAAGCUUUCAGUCUUUAUUUACUCACUCAUUUAACGUACAUUCACAUCGCACUAGACACAGCAAUAAUAACAACCUAUCUUUACCCUUCUCCCGCACAUCACAUCAUCAAUUUAGUAUGUCGUAUAGAGGCCCUGCAUUAUGGAAUGUACUACCUCCCUUAUUUAGAUCCUUAUCAUCCUACUCACUCUUCAAAAAGCAGCUUAAAAAACAUAUUAUCUUUUCAUGA